RNAcentral lists this unclassified non-coding RNA (241 nucleotides) under Hevea brasiliensis (rubber tree). The record is from RNAcentral. Lineage: Eukaryota; Viridiplantae; Streptophyta; Magnoliopsida; Malpighiales; Euphorbiaceae.
AUGAAUGUCAUCCUGGUCCAGCAAAUUCUUAUGACAGAGGCUGUGAAGUCAUUACUAGAUGUGCUAGAGAUGUUCAUGACAUAAACACUUGAUGAUGAUGGUGGUGGUGAUGGAUGGGAUGCCACUGCCGCUCAACUGUUGUUCCCAGAAGCAAAUAUCAACUACAGGUUGUUCAUUGAGAUCGUCAGAUAGCAAGAAGACUUAUGUGCUUUUGUAAAAAGUAGUGUUGAAUUGAAUCUUA